This is a long non-coding RNA of Bubalus bubalis (water buffalo), 487 nucleotides long. RefSeq lists it as uncharacterized. Lineage: Eukaryota; Metazoa; Chordata; Mammalia; Artiodactyla; Bovidae. The record is from RefSeq and is a predicted model, not a curated record. The transcript is spliced from 4 exons.
UGUUGCCAUAUCCUGCCUGCCAUCUCCUGCAAACGACUUCUGCCCAACUGGAUGCAUGUGUAAAUGUGAUUCCCCAUAUACAGGUGGAAAAACUAAGAUUCAGAGAGAGUUGAUUUAUUCAAGCCAGCAGGAUGGAUGUUCAGUUCAGCAUGUUGGAGGAUGAGUCACAGGGAGCCAGCCUAAGUAAUCCAACAUCCUAAAUGAGGUCCUCCUAGGCCAGUUUGCUGACCUUCAGGAAAAUUCCAAACACGGGGAAACCCAGUGGACCUACAUGCCAUUGGAACAACUAAACCUGAGUGCUACAACUGGAGAAUCCAUGUGCCACAUUGAAAGAUCCCUCAUGCCACAGUCCAAGCUGCAUAGGCAUCGAGAUCCUGUGGUCCUGACAGCACAAAACCCAAUAUACUACCAUGUGGAUGCCAUCAAGCUGUUCUGCUGCUGCUGCUAAGUCGCUUCAGUCAUGUCCGACUCUGUGCGACCCCAUAGA